This is a long non-coding RNA of Ruditapes philippinarum (Manila clam), 1316 nucleotides long. RefSeq lists it as uncharacterized. The transcript is spliced from 2 exons. The record is from RefSeq and is a predicted model, not a curated record. Lineage: Eukaryota; Metazoa; Mollusca; Bivalvia; Venerida; Veneridae.
GUUGAUAAGACUGGUAUCGAUUCUUCGAGAGUUCCGGUGCUGAUAUACUCGCAAGAAGCAGUCGUGUUUGGGGCAGCUUUCUACACCUCUGUGCCGGCAGAUUUGUAAGAUUGGAAGUUGUUUCAGUGUGGAGAGAGAUGGACACGGUGUAUUGUUAGUAAACCCUUGAACAAUGAAUGCUAGAUUGGUGUCCAACGUUGUGAUGGUGGAUAAUGUCGGAAUGCGGAUGGUUGUGUAACAUUGGUGAAAAGUUUGUGUUGGGAAGUUGCAUGAUGGAGCAUUGGUAAAUUGUGUAUUAUGUAAAUGGCAUUGUUAUUCUGGAGACAGGCCAGCAUUCAAAGAGAAUUAAGUAUUUUAUCGUAUUAAAAAUUUCAAUAAGUAAAAAUAUAUUUGAAAGGCUUAUUCAAUAAAUAAAUAAUAAUUUCAAUAAGGUAUAUUUUACAGAUGAUAGGAAUUGUCAAAAAUAGAUUGUCUAGUUAGUUAGCAGAUGGAAGUUUAAUGGUUCUACUCAGAUACAACCCCUUGCCUGAAACUUUGCACUUAGACACACAUUCUCAUGUACGAAAAAGAGCUGGAGUGUCGCCAUAUGACUUAAAAAGCAACAAAUUAAUUGUAAUAUGUUGAGUUUAAAAAGUUUGUUAAGAUAAAGUAAAUAUUUAUAUUUUGAGAUAAUUGUCACCGGCCCUUGUCUAUAACAAACAUACAUUGCACUUUGGGACACAUCUGCAAAUAAAGCUGGAGAGUUGCCAUGUGGCAUAAGAGUUGUGACUACUGGAGCAAUGAAGGACUUGGCAGACACUGUGAAAGUUGAUCAAGACUGAUAUCGAUUCUUCGAGAGUUCCGGUGCUGAUAUACUCGCAAGAAGCAGUCGUGUUUGGGGCAGCUUUCUACACCUCUGUGCCGGCAGAUUUGUAAGAUUGGAAGUUGUUUCAGUGUGGAGAGAGAUGGACACGGUGUAUUGUUAGGUAAAACUUGCCAUUUGAUGUCACGGGUAGUUCUCAUUAUAGGUAAUGAGUCACGGUUAUGUUCAUAAAAGAGGGUUAGAAAUCCCUGUAAAAUCAAAUAUGUUGUAAUAAUUACCGCUAUUUCCAUUUUGUAUCAUGGGCUAGACUUUUGCAUGGAUGAGGAAAUUCCCAUAGCCUUGUUAAUUGUAGUUUGACUUGCAAGCUACUUUAAGACAGUUCGGUGGUUUUACUUAAUACCAUCUCUUGCUUAAACAAUGCAUAUAACGGCAACGUUUCAUUUACCAAUUUAGGUUGAAUGUUGUCAUAUGACUUAAAAAGAAAGAAAUAUAAUUUGUAACUAGUUAAGUUUUA